This 253-nucleotide ribosomal RNA is filed under the name uncultured bacterium. RNAcentral's name for it is "partial 16S ribosomal RNA". It matches the Rfam family "Bacterial small subunit ribosomal RNA", at positions 524 to 776 of the family's 1533-position model. The record is from RNAcentral.
UACGGGGGGGGCAAGCGUUGUUCGGAAUUACUGGGCGUAAAGGGCUCGUAGGCGGCCAACUAAGUCGGAUGUGAAAUCCCCAGGCUUAACCUGGGAACUGCAUCCGAUACUGGAUGGCUUGAAUCCGGGAGAGGGAUGCAGAAUUCCAGGUGUAGCGGUGAAAUGCGUAGAUAUCUGGAGGAAUACCGGUGGCGAAGGCGGCAUCCUGGACCGGCAUUGACGCUGAGGGGCGAAAGCUAGGGGAGCAAACGGG